This 253-nucleotide ribosomal RNA is filed under the name uncultured bacterium. Its description in RNAcentral is "partial 16S ribosomal RNA". It matches the Rfam family "Bacterial small subunit ribosomal RNA", at positions 524 to 776 of the family's 1533-position model. The record is from RNAcentral.
UACAGCGGGUGCGAACGUUGCCCGGAAUUACUGGGCGUAAAGCGCGUGUAGGCGGUCCGUUAAGUUGGUAGUGAAAUCCCAUGGCUCAACCAUGGAAGUGCUGCCAAAACUGGCGGGCUGGAGUGCCGGAGAGGGUGGCGGAAUUCCCAGUGUAGAGGUGAAAUUCGUAGAUAUUGGGAGGAACACCGGUGGCGAAGGCGAGUCCCUGGACGACACCUGACACUGAGGCACGAAAGCUAGGGGAGCAAACAGG